UCCAUGCAGGUCUAGUGGUUAGGCCACAGUGCUCUCACCGCUGUGGCCUGGGUUCGAUUCUCAACCAGGGGU
Molecule: non-coding RNA, 72 nt
Organism: Pangasius djambal
Lineage: Eukaryota; Metazoa; Chordata; Actinopteri; Siluriformes; Pangasiidae
Source: the annotation of a GenBank genome assembly